This 309-nucleotide ribosomal RNA is filed under the name uncultured bacterium. Its description in RNAcentral is "partial 16S ribosomal RNA". It matches the Rfam family "Bacterial small subunit ribosomal RNA", at positions 504 to 807 of the family's 1533-position model. The record is from RNAcentral.
AGAGACAGCAGUAGCCGCGGUAAUACGUAGGGUGCAAGCGUUAAUCGGAAUUACUGGGCGUAAAGCGUGCGCAGGCGGUUAUAUAAGACAGAUGUGAAAUCCCCGGGCUCAACCUGGGAACUGCAUUUGUGACUGUAUAGCUAGAGUACGGCAGAGGGGGAUGGAAUUCCGCGUGUAGCAGUGAAAUGCGUAGAUAUGCGGAGGAACACCGAUGGCGAAGGCAAUCCCCUGGGCCUGUACUGACGCUCAUGCACGAAAGCGUGGGGAGCAAACAGGAUUAGAUACCCCUGUAGUCCCUGUCUCUUAUAC